Triticum aestivum (bread wheat) is the source of this 115-nucleotide non-coding RNA. The record is from Rfam. Lineage: Eukaryota; Viridiplantae; Streptophyta; Magnoliopsida; Poales; Poaceae.
CUACUACUCCCUCCGUCUGAAAAUACUUGUCAUUGAAAUGGAUGUAUCUAGAUGUAUUUUAGUUCUAGACACAUCCAUUUUGAUGACAAGUAAUUCCGGAUGGAGGGAGUAUUAU